UACGUAGGGGGCAAGCGUUAUCCGGAUUUACUGGGUGUAAAGGGAGCGUAGACGGCGGUGCAGGCCAGAUGUGAAAGCCCGGGGCUCAACCCCGGGACUGCAUUUGGAACUGUACGGCUAGAGUGUCGGAGAGGCAGGCGGAAUUCCUAGUGUAGCGGUGAAAUGCGUAGAUAUUAGGAGGAACACCAGUGGCGAAGGCGGCCUGCUGGACGAUGACUGACGUUGAGGCUCGAAAGCGUGGGGAGCAAACAGG
This 253-nucleotide ribosomal RNA is filed under the name uncultured bacterium. RNAcentral's name for it is "partial 16S ribosomal RNA". It matches the Rfam family "Bacterial small subunit ribosomal RNA", at positions 524 to 776 of the family's 1533-position model. The record is from RNAcentral.